GUGGCUGUAGUUCAGUGGUAGAACAUCAGUUUGUGGAACUGAAUGUCGGGGGUUCAAUUCCCCUCAGCCACCCCA
This 75-nucleotide transfer RNA is filed under the name Candidatus Daviesbacteria bacterium. RNAcentral's name for it is "tRNA-His". It matches the Rfam family "tRNA". From Rfam's summary of the family: Transfer RNA (tRNA) molecules are approximately 80 nucleotides in length. Their secondary structure includes four short double-helical elements and three loops (D, anti-codon, and T loops). Further hydrogen bonds mediate the characteristic L-shaped molecular structure. tRNAs have two regions of fundamental functional importance: the anti-codon, which is responsible for specific mRNA codon recognition, and the 3' end, to which the tRNAs corresponding amino acid is attached (by aminoacyl-tRNA synthetases). tRNAs cope with the degeneracy of the genetic code in two manners: having more than one tRNA (with a specific anti-codon) for a particular amino acid; and 'wobble' base-pairing, i.e. permitting non-standard base-pairing at the 3rd anti-codon position. Lineage: Bacteria; Candidatus Daviesiibacteriota. The record is from RNAcentral.